CACGUAGGGGGCGAGCGUUGUCCGGAUUUAUUGGGCGUAAAGAGCUCGUAGGCGGCUCGGUAAGUCAGGUGUGAAAACUCUAGGCUCAACCUAGAGACGCCACCUGAUACUGCUGUGGCUAGAGUCCGGUAGGGGAGCAUGGAAUUCCUGGUGUAGCGGUGAAAUGCGCAGAUAUCAGGAGGAACACCGGUGGCGAAGGCGGGUCUCUGGGCCGAAAUUGACGCUGAGGAGCGAAAGCGUGGGGAGCAAACAGG
Molecule: ribosomal RNA, 254 nt
Filed under: uncultured bacterium
Lineage: Bacteria
Description: partial 16S ribosomal RNA
Rfam family: Bacterial small subunit ribosomal RNA
Source: RNAcentral